UAUUAGUGAUCAAGGGGGAAAGGUCC
Molecule: unclassified non-coding RNA, 26 nt
Filed under: Mus musculus (house mouse)
Lineage: Eukaryota; Metazoa; Chordata; Mammalia; Rodentia; Muridae
Description: oocyte_clustered_small_RNA9994
Source: RNAcentral